UCCUCUAUUUGCCUCUGUGUUCUCCC
RNAcentral lists this non-coding RNA (26 nucleotides) under Rattus norvegicus (Norway rat). The record is from RNAcentral. Lineage: Eukaryota; Metazoa; Chordata; Mammalia; Rodentia; Muridae.